Molecule: ribosomal RNA, 914 nt
Filed under: uncultured archaeon
Lineage: Archaea
Description: bacterial SSU rRNA
Rfam family: Archaeal small subunit ribosomal RNA
Source: RNAcentral
CCGGUUGAUCCUGCCAGAGGCUACUGCUAUCGGGGUCCGACUAAGCCAUGCGAGUUGAGAGGGGUAAGCCCUCGGCAUAUUGCUCAGUAACACGCGGAUAACCUGCCCUUGGGUCCGGGAUAACCCCGGGAAACUGGGACUAAUACCGGAUAGAUCAAGGAUACUGGAAUGUUCUCUGGUCCAAAACUCCGGUGCCCAAGGAUGGGUCUGCGGCCUAUCAGGUAGUAGUGGGUGUAGCGUACCUACUAGCCUACGACGGGUAAGGGUUGUGAGAGCAAGAGCCCUGAGAUGGAUUCUGAGACAUGAAUCCAGGCCCUACGGGGUGCAGCAGGCGCGAAAACUUUACACUGCGGGAAACCGCGAUAAGGGGACCCCGAGUGCCAGCACCUAGUGCUGGCUGUCCUACUGUCUAAAUAACAGUGGUUAGCAAGGGCCGGGCAAGACCGGUGCCAGCCGCCGCGGUAACACCGGCGGCCCGAGUGGUAACCGUUAUUAUUGGGUUUAAAGGGUCCGUAGCCGGCCUAUUAAGUCUCUUGGGAAAUCUGGCGACUUAAUCGUCAGGCGUCCAAGAGAUACUGAUAGGCUUGGGACCGGGAGAGGUGGGAGGUACUCCAGGGGUAGGGGUGAAAUCUCGUAAUCCUUGGGGGACCACCGAUGGCGAAGGCAUCCCACCAGAACGGGUCCGACGGUGAGGGACGAAAGCUGGGGGCACGAACCGGAUUAGAUACCCGGGUAGUCCCAGCUGUAAACGAUGCUCGCUAGGUGUCAGGUGCGGUGCGACCGCAUCUGGUGCCGCAGUGAAAACUUGAAGCGAGUCACCUGGGAAGUACGGUCGCAAGGCUGAAACUUAAAGGAAUUGGCGGGGGAGCACUACAACGGGUGGAGCCUGCGGUUCAAUUGGAUUCAACGCCGGG